This is a non-coding RNA of Ictidomys tridecemlineatus (thirteen-lined ground squirrel), 69 nucleotides long. Lineage: Eukaryota; Metazoa; Chordata; Mammalia; Rodentia; Sciuridae. The record is from Rfam.
GGGAUUGUAGCUUAGCAGUAGAGCGCUCACCUAGCACGUGUGAGGCACUGGGUUCGAUCCUCAGCACCA